GGGGUGGAGUUUAGGAUUUAGGGUUUAGGAUUUAGGGUUUAGGGAUUAGAGUUUAGGGUUUAGGGUUUAGAGUUUAGGGGUGGGGUUUAGGGUUUAGGGUUAAGGGGUGGAGUUUAGGAUUUAGGGUUUAGGGUUUAGGAUUUAGGGUUUAGAGUUUAGGGUUUAGGGUUUAGAGUUUAGGGUUUAGGGUUUAGAGUUGGGGAGUGGAGUUUUAGGGUUUAGAGUUGGGGAGUGGGGUUUUGGGAUAAGAUUUCAAAUUUUGAAAAAUAAAAAAAAUUAAAUUUUUCAAAAGAUGAAAUUCUAUUUUGGUCAUUUUAGUUUUUGAGGGUUAUUUUUGUGACAUAAACUUAGAAAU
Molecule: long non-coding RNA, 355 nt
Filed under: Brassica napus (rape)
Lineage: Eukaryota; Viridiplantae; Streptophyta; Magnoliopsida; Brassicales; Brassicaceae
Description: long non-coding RNA (BNAP_LNC011841)
Source: RNAcentral